GAUGAAGAACGUAGCGAAAUGCGAAAAGUAAUGUGAAUUGCAGAAUUCAGUGAAUCAUCGAAUCUUUGAACGCACAUUGCGCCCGCUGGUACUCCGGCGGGCACGCCUGUCCGAUCGUCAUUUCAACCCUCAAGCCCUCCUUCGGGAUGGGCCUGGUGUUGGGGCUCGGCCGCCAUCUCCGGCGGCCGUCCCCUAAAUACAGUGGCGGUCACGUCGCGACUCCUUUGCGUAGUAGAAACACCUCGCUCCGGAUAGCAACGCGGUCCACGCCGUAAAAUCCCCAAUUUUCAAUGGUUGACCUCGGAUCAGGUGGGAAUACCCGCUGAACUUAAGCAUAUCAAUAAGCGGAGGA
Molecule: unclassified non-coding RNA, 352 nt
Filed under: soil metagenome
Description: partial contains 5.8S ribosomal RNA, internal transcribed spacer 2, and large subunit ribosomal RNA
Rfam family: 5.8S ribosomal RNA (bases 1-120)
Source: RNAcentral